Molecule: ribosomal RNA, 497 nt
Filed under: uncultured bacterium
Lineage: Bacteria
Description: partial 16S ribosomal RNA
Rfam family: Bacterial small subunit ribosomal RNA
Source: RNAcentral
GAUGAACGCUGGCGGCGUGCCUAAUACAUGCAAGUCGAGCGAACGGGCGAGGAUCUUGCGUCUCUGAUGUUAGCGGCGGACGGGUGUGUAACACGUGGAUAACCUACCUAUAAGACUGGGAUAACUUCGGGAAACCGGAGCUAAUACCGGAUAAUAUUUUGAACCACAUGGGUCAUAAGUGAAAGACGGUCUUGCUGGCACGUAUAGAUGGUUCCGCGCUGCAUUAGCUAGUAGUUAAGGUAACGGCUUACCAAGGCAACGAUGCGUAGACGACCGGAGAGGGGGAUAGGCCACACUGGAACUGAGCCACGGUCCAGACUCCUACGGGAGGCAGCAGUAGGGAACCUUCCGCAAUGGGCGAAAGCCUGACGGAGCAACGCCGAGUGAGUGAUGACGGUCUUCGGAUCGUAAAACUCUGUUAUGGGGGAAGAACAGAUGUGUACGUAGCUGUGGCCAUCUUGACGGUACCUAAUCAGAAAGCCACGGCUAACUACGUG